GAUGAACGCUAGCGGCAGGCCUAAUACAUGCAAGUCGAGGGGUAGGGAAGAGCUUGCUUUUCUUGAGACCGGCGCACGGGUGCGUAACGCGUAUGCAACCUACCUUUAACAGGGGGAUAGCCUCUCGAAAGAGAGAUUAACACCGCAUAAAAACACAGUAUGGCAUCGUACAAUGUUCAAAUAUUUAUAGGAUAAAGAUGGGCAUGCGUGACAUUAGCUAGUUGGUGAGGUAAGGGCUCACCAAGGCGACGAUGUCUAGGGGAUCUGAGAGGAUGACCCCCCACACUGGUACUGAGACACGGACCAGACUCCUACGGGAGGCAGCAGUAAGGAAUAUUGGUCAAUGGGGGCAACCCUGAACCAGCCAUGCCGCGUGCAGGAAGACGGCCCUACGGGUUGUAAACUGCUUUUAUACGGGAAUAAACCCCUUUACGUGUAAAGGGUUGAAUGUACUGUAAGAAUAAGGAUCGGCUAACUCCGUGCCAGCAGCCGCCGUAA
This 498-nucleotide ribosomal RNA is filed under the name uncultured bacterium. RNAcentral's name for it is "partial 16S ribosomal RNA". It matches the Rfam family "Bacterial small subunit ribosomal RNA", at positions 28 to 523 of the family's 1533-position model. The record is from RNAcentral.